Molecule: unclassified non-coding RNA, 376 nt
Filed under: Melitaea cinxia (Glanville fritillary)
Lineage: Eukaryota; Metazoa; Arthropoda; Insecta; Lepidoptera; Nymphalidae
Description: misc RNA ENSMCXG00005014747.1
Source: RNAcentral
AUAUUUCCUACUUUGUAACCAAUAUCAUUACAGGAAAUGUAUUAUAACAAUAACAACAAAAUUAAAAAACGGUUUUUUUUCUAUUUAUAUUUUAUGAAAAAUAAGCAAAUAUAAAAUUGUAUACGCUUUGUGAAGCUCGAUUUUUUCUAUUUAUUUAGUCCAAAAAUAAAAAAUUCAUUUCCGGAAUACAAAUUUGCCUACUCCGUUCACGAUCACCACACAGGCGAUGUUAAAUCUCAACACGAACACCGUCAUGGAGACGUUGUUCACGGAGGCUAUGAGCUCGUCGAGCCAGACGGUCGCUUCAGAAAAGUAGAAUAUAAGGCCGAUGACCACACAGGGUAAAAUAGAUUUUAGAUAAUCACUUCUUUUUAUU